GACGUAGGGCGCGAGCGUUGUCCGGAUUUAUUGGGCGUAAAGAGCUCGUAGGCGGCUUGUCGCGUCGAAUGUGAAAUCUCAGGGCUCAACUCUGACAUUGCAUUCGAUACGGGCAGGCUAGAGUUCGGUAGGGGAGACUGGAAUUCCUGGUGUAGCGGUGGAAUGCGCAGAUAUCAGGAGGAACACCGGUGGCGAAGGCGGGUCUCUGGGCCGAUACUGACACUGAGAAGCGAAAGCGUGGGGAGCGAACAGG
RNAcentral lists this ribosomal RNA (253 nucleotides) under uncultured bacterium. Its description in RNAcentral is "partial 16S ribosomal RNA". It matches the Rfam family "Bacterial small subunit ribosomal RNA", at positions 524 to 776 of the family's 1533-position model. The record is from RNAcentral.